This 346-nucleotide ribosomal RNA is filed under the name Acidovorax sp. Its description in RNAcentral is "bacterial SSU rRNA". It matches the Rfam family "Bacterial small subunit ribosomal RNA", at positions 1 to 349 of the family's 1533-position model. Lineage: Bacteria; Pseudomonadati; Pseudomonadota; Betaproteobacteria; Burkholderiales; Comamonadaceae. The record is from RNAcentral.
GAACUGUAGAGUUUGAUCCUGGCUCAGAUUGAACGCUGGCGGCAUGCUUUACACAUGCAAGUCGAACGGCAGCACGGACUUCGGUCUGGUGGCGAGUGGCGAACGGGUGAGUAAUACAUCGGAACGUGCCCAGUUGUGGGGGAUAACUACUCGAAAGAGUGGCUAAUACCGCAUGAGAACUGAGGUUGAAAGCAGGGGACCGCAAGGCCUUGCGCAACUGGAGCGGCCGAUGGCAGAUUAGGUAGUUGGUGGGGUAAAGGCUUACCAAGCCUGCGAUCUGUAGCUGGUCUGAGAGGACGACCAGCCACACUGGGACUGAGACACGGCCCAGACUCCUACGGGAGGC